AGCGAACGCUGGCGGCAGGCCUAACACAUGCAAGUCGAACGAACUCUUCGGUGUUUGUGGCGGACGGGUGAGUAACACGUGGGAACGUGCAUUUCGGUUCGGAAUAACUCAGGGAAACUUGUGCUAAUACCGACUGUGCCCUUCGGGGGAAAGAUUUAUCGCCAUUAGAGCGGCCCGCGUCUGAUUAGCUAGUUGGUGUGGUAACGGCUCACCAAGGCGACAAUCAGUAGCUGGUCUGAGAGGAUGACCAGCCACACUGGGACUGAGCCACGGCGCAGACUCCUACGGGAGGCAGCAGUGGGGAAUCUAGCGCAAUGGGCGAAAGCCUGACGCAGCCAUGCCGCGUGAAUGAUGAAGGUCUUAGGAUUGUAAAAUUCUUUCACCGGGGACGAUAAUGACGGUACCCGGAGAAGAAGCCCCGGCUAACUUCGUG
RNAcentral lists this ribosomal RNA (433 nucleotides) under uncultured bacterium. RNAcentral describes it as "partial 16S ribosomal RNA". It matches the Rfam family "Bacterial small subunit ribosomal RNA", at positions 29 to 507 of the family's 1533-position model. The record is from RNAcentral.